GUUUCAUUUAAAAUUAUUAUAGAAUUUUAUUUUUUAGUAAAAAAGCUAAAAUUUUAUUAAAAGACGAGAAGACCCUAUAAAUCUUUAUAAUUUUAAUUAUUUUAAUUUAUUUAGAUAUAUUUUAUUUUAAUAAUUAAAAUUAUUUUAUUGGGGUGAUAUUAAAAUUUAAAUAACUUUUAAUUUAUAGAUUUCAUAAAUAAAUGUUUUGUUGAUCCAUUUUUAAUGAUUAUAAAAUUAAGUUACUUUAGGGAUAACAGCGUAAUUUUUUUUGAGAGUUCUUAUUGAUAAAAAAGUUUGCGACCUCGAUGUUGGAUUAAGAUAUAGAUUUAAAUGCAGAAGUUUAAAUUUUAAGUCUGUUCGACUUUUAAAUUCUUACAUGAUCUGAGUUCAAACCGGUGUAAGCCAGGUUGGAAACUAUCUUUAAUUAAAUAAAAUAUUUUAGUACGAAAGGAUUGAAUAUUUGAAUUAUAUAAUUUUUUAUUAAGAAU
Molecule: ribosomal RNA, 488 nt
Filed under: Sphyracephala brevicornis
Lineage: Eukaryota; Metazoa; Arthropoda; Insecta; Diptera; Diopsidae
Description: partial 16S ribosomal RNA
Rfam family: Bacterial large subunit ribosomal RNA (bases 250-409)
Source: RNAcentral